Molecule: ribosomal RNA, 253 nt
Filed under: uncultured bacterium
Lineage: Bacteria
Description: partial 16S ribosomal RNA
Rfam family: Bacterial small subunit ribosomal RNA
Source: RNAcentral
GACAGAGGUUGCAAACGUUGUUCGGAAUUACUGGGCAUAAAGCGCACGUAGGCGGCCUACUAAGUCAGACGUGAAAUCCCCCGGCUUAACCUGGGAACUGCGUCUGAUACUGGAAGGCUUGAGUAUGGGAGAGGGAUGUAGAAUUCCAGGUGUAGCGGUGAAAUGCGUAGAUAUCUGGAGGAAUACCGGUGGCGAAGGCGGCAUCCUGGACCAUUACUGACGCUGAGGCGCGAAAGCUAGGGGAGCAAACGGG